This is a long non-coding RNA of Asterias rubens (European starfish), 404 nucleotides long. RefSeq lists it as uncharacterized. The transcript has 4 exons. NCBI's taxonomy places the organism in Eukaryota, Metazoa, Echinodermata, Asteroidea, Forcipulatida, Asteriidae. The record is from RefSeq and is a predicted model, not a curated record.
CAGCAGAGAGAAGUGAGUUGCUUCUUCGAGAGAAUUUUACCCGCAAUGUGGCUCCAUUUUACCGUUUCCUGGAAAAGGAACGGUAGUUACGAAGUGCAAGACAUGUCCUGACAAAGUAAAUGCAAACACUGCAUUACAUGGUGUGGUCUAUCAUUCAUACCUGCGUCUCAACUCUCCCAAGGAUGUUGAAGGUCGUCACAAGGUCGUCAGCCAGAAAGACCUACAUGUAGGACCAUUGGUGAGUGAAAUUAGUGAUUGACAGGGCAUGUGCCAAGUGCGGUCAUGAUGAACUUUUAUUUCCACACCAGUCAAACACGAUCAGCUAAUGAAGGACAAACCGUCUUCUAUUUCUGCCCAUCAUGCAAUUUUACAGGCGUCAAGAGAUUGAGUACUCCUGAAGGAAC